Molecule: ribosomal RNA, 273 nt
Filed under: uncultured Brochothrix sp.
Lineage: Bacteria; Bacillati; Bacillota; Bacilli; Caryophanales; Listeriaceae
Description: partial 16S ribosomal RNA
Rfam family: Bacterial small subunit ribosomal RNA
Source: RNAcentral
CGGUAAUACGUAGGUGGCAAGCGUUGUCCGGAAUUAUUGGGCGUAAAGCGCGCGCAGGCGGUCUCUUAAGUCUGAUGUGAAAGCCCCCGGCUCAACCGGGGAGGGUCAUUGGAAACUGGGAGACUUGAGGACAGAAGAGGAGAGUGGAAUUCCAAGUGUAGCGGUGAAAUGCGUAGAUAUUUGGAGGAACACCAGUGGCGAAGGCGGCUCUCUGGUCUGUUACUGACGCUGAGGCGCGAAAGCGUGGGGAGCAAACAGGAUUAGAUACCCGAG